Molecule: long non-coding RNA, 177 nt
Organism: Zalophus californianus (California sea lion)
Lineage: Eukaryota; Metazoa; Chordata; Mammalia; Carnivora; Otariidae
Exons: 3
Source: RefSeq, a predicted model, not a curated record
GGAAGAGAGGAAAGAGGUCAAGAAUUAGGAUCCUCAGUUAGAAACUGGAGAAGGAAAAUAUGAGUUUAUUGAAUAAUAAAUUCAUAUGAGGAACUGAGAUAUGACAGGUGAAUUACACGGCUGGCAAGUGAGAGAGAGCACAAGCAGGGGGAGUGGAGAGAGAGAAGCUGGCUUCCC